Molecule: long non-coding RNA, 302 nt
Organism: Sander lucioperca (pikeperch)
Lineage: Eukaryota; Metazoa; Chordata; Actinopteri; Perciformes; Percidae
Exons: 3
Source: RefSeq, a predicted model, not a curated record
CCACAAAGCUAAAUUAUCCACCUCAGCUGGUCUCCUCUGUAUCCAAAAGUCCAACCUCUGCAGUUUUGGGGACAGAGCCUUCUCCAGGGCAGCUCCCAGGCUCUGGAACUCCCUCUCCCAAGAGAUCUGCACCUCUGAGUCCCUCUCCAUCUUCCAGUCCUGCCUCAAGACCCAUCUCUUCACCUCUGCCUAUCCGUAGCCCCCCGCCCCCCUCCCCUUUUCAUCUGUGCCUGAAUCUUGUUUUGUUUUGUUCUGUUUUUGUAAUCUACCUCCCCUGUAAAGCGACUUUGAGUCUUUGAAAA